AGACUUGGCUUCCGGCUGGAG
RNAcentral lists this microRNA (21 nucleotides) under Mus musculus (house mouse). RNAcentral describes it as "mmu-miR-7685-3p". Lineage: Eukaryota; Metazoa; Chordata; Mammalia; Rodentia; Muridae. The record is from miRBase by way of RNAcentral.